GGGAGGGGAUUAGUGGCGAACGGGUGAGUAACACGUGGGCAAUCUGCCCUGCACUCUGGGACAAGCCCUGGAAACGGGGUCUAAUACCGGAUACUGACCCGCUUGGGCAUCCAAGCGGUUCGAAAGCUCCGGCGGUGCAGGAUGAGCCCGCGGCCUAUCAGCUUGUUGGUGAGGUAAUGGCUCACCAAGGCGACGACGGGUAGCCGGCCUGAGAGGGCGACCGGCCACACUGGGACUGAGACACGGCCCAGACUCCUACGGGAGGCAGCAGUGGGGAAUAUUGCACAAUGGGCGAAAGCCUGAUGCAGCGACGCCGCGUGAGGGAUGACGGCCUUCGGGUUGUAAACCUCUUUCAGCAGGGAAGAAGCGAAAGUGACGGUACCUGCAGAAGAAGCGCCGGCUAACUACGUGCCAGCAGCCGCGGUAAUACGUAGGGCGCGAGCGUUGUCCGGAAUUAUUGGGCGUAAAGAGCUCGUAGGCGGCUUGUCACGUCGGUUGUGAAAGCCCGGGGCUUAACCCCGGGUCUGCAGUCGAUACGGGCAGGCUAGAGUUCGGUAGGGGAGAUCGGAAUUCCUGGUGUAGCGGUGAAAUGCGCAGAUAUCAGGAGGAACACCGGUGGCGAAGGCGGAUCUCUGGGCCGAUACUGACGCUGAGGAGCGAAAGCGUGGGGAGCGAACAGGAUUAGAUACCCUGGUAGUCCACGCCGUAAACGGUGGGCACUAGGUGUGGGC
RNAcentral lists this ribosomal RNA (731 nucleotides) under Actinomycetes bacterium. Its description in RNAcentral is "bacterial SSU rRNA". It matches the Rfam family "Bacterial small subunit ribosomal RNA", at positions 83 to 827 of the family's 1533-position model. The record is from RNAcentral. Lineage: Bacteria; Bacillati; Actinomycetota; Actinomycetes.